CAACAUCCGAAACCAUAUCUCCCACCAACAAACCACCAAGCAAACCAGCACCCAAUCCCAAACCUAAUCCACCUCCCAUUCCACCAAACUUGUUCUUUUUCUUAGGUUGUUGCACCGGUGGAUAUCCGUAUCCAGGUUGUUGUACGGGUGGAUACCCGUAACCAGAUUGUGGUUGCGGGUAUCCAUAACCAGGUGCACCACCAGCAGGUGGGUAUCCAGUGUGUGGAUACCCACCAUAAGAAGUUUGAGGAGGAGGAGGAGGAUACGCAUAUCCGGGAUUUUGCUGAUGAUUAUAAGCCAUACCAUAUGAUGCACCAGCAGCAUGUGGUGGUGCAGGAUAAGCAGUAACAGGCUCAUGAUUUACCUCUUUCUUUUGAUCAGCCGCUGUAAAUAUUU
Molecule: long non-coding RNA, 396 nt
Filed under: Nicotiana tabacum (common tobacco)
Lineage: Eukaryota; Viridiplantae; Streptophyta; Magnoliopsida; Solanales; Solanaceae
Description: long non-coding RNA (NTAB_LNC000785)
Source: RNAcentral